AUUUUAAUGAAUUAAUUAUAUUAGAAUGAUUAAAUUAGUAAUUUAAUUUGUUUAAAUUAUUUUAUUAUAUAUAUAAUAAAUAUAUUUAAGUAAUUAGGCAAAAUAAUUAUAUUCACCUGUUUAACAAAAACAUGUCUUUUUGAAUUUAAUAUAAAGUCAGUUCUGCUCAAUGAUUAAUUAAAUAGCUGCAGUAUUUUAACUGUACAAAGGUAGCAUAAUCAUUUGUCUUUUAAUUGAAGGCUAGAAUGAAUGAAUUAAUGAAAUAUAAACUGUCUCAAUUAUAUAAAAUAAAAUUAAAUUUUAAGUUAAAAUGCUUAAUUUAAUUUAAGGGACGAUAAGACCCUAUAGAAUUUUAUAUAUUAUAAAUUUAAUAAAUUAUAAUAGUAUAUUUGAUUGGGAGGAUUUUUAGAUUUAAUUAACUUUAAAGUUUUAAAAAUAUUGAUUUAUAGAUAAAUUUAAUUGAAAUAUAUUAUUAUAUAAUAUAAUAAAAGUAUAAAUUACCUUAGGGAUAACAGCGUAAUAUUUUUGGAAAGAUCAAAUUGAAAAAAUUGUUUGCGACCUCGAUGUUGAAUUAAAAUUAAUUAUAAAUGUAGGUGUUUAUAAAUUUAGUCUGUUCGACUAUUAAAAUUUUACAUGAUUUGAGUUCAGAUCGACGUGAGUCAGAUUGGUUUCUAUCUUUAAAAAAAUUUAAAAUUUUUGUACGAAAGGACU
Molecule: ribosomal RNA, 711 nt
Filed under: Osmia cerinthidis
Lineage: Eukaryota; Metazoa; Arthropoda; Insecta; Hymenoptera; Megachilidae
Description: partial 16S ribosomal RNA
Rfam family: Bacterial large subunit ribosomal RNA (bases 508-666)
Source: RNAcentral